UACGUAGGGUGCGAGCGUUAAUCGGAAUUACUGGGCGUAAAGCGUGCGCAGGCGGUCUGUUAAGUCAGAUGUGAAAUCCCCGGGCUUAACCUGGGAACUGCAUUUGUGACUGGCAGGCUAGAGUAUGGCAGAGGGGGGUAGAAUUCCACGUGUAGCAGUGAAAUGCGUAGAGAUGUGGAGGAAUGCCGAUGGCGAAGGCAGCCCCCUGGGCCAAUACUGACGCUCAUGCGCGAAAGCGUGGGGAGCAAACAGG
Molecule: ribosomal RNA, 253 nt
Filed under: uncultured bacterium
Lineage: Bacteria
Description: partial 16S ribosomal RNA
Rfam family: Bacterial small subunit ribosomal RNA
Source: RNAcentral